CGACGAAGGCCGCCGCGUCCUCGGCGCACCCGACGUGCGCCACCCCGACCUCCACCGUCGGCUUGCUGCACCGGCCCUCGCCCUGGACCGCGGCGGACAUGACGAAGCCGCGGUAGUUCCCCAGGGGCCACUUGCUCAGGUCGCCGCUGCCUCUCGGGCUGCACCCCGGCGUGCCGCCCCGGCUGAGCGGCUGCGCGGCGGUCAGGUCGAUGGCGAACUUGCCGCCCUUGGACGAGGGGAUGGAGGAGUCGGCGAGGGCGACGGCGGCGUGGUCCACGCCGGGGACGAGGAGGUCGAAGCGGUAGCCCAGGCUGUCGGACGCGCCGGCGCCGCGGCGGUCGCGCCAGCACUCGA
This 354-nucleotide unclassified non-coding RNA is filed under the name Zea mays. RNAcentral describes it as "misc RNA Zm00001eb213790". The record is from RNAcentral. Lineage: Eukaryota; Viridiplantae; Streptophyta; Magnoliopsida; Poales; Poaceae.